AUUGAACGCUGGCGGUAUGCCUUACACAUGCAAGUCGAACGGUAACAGGUCGUCGGAUGCUGACGAGUGGCGAAUGGGUGGGUAAUACAUGGGAACGUGCUCGAGAGAGGGGGGUAACGCGGUGAAAGAUAUGCUAAUAGCGCAUACGAUGUAAGGAUGAAAGCGGGGGAUUUAGGGAGCUUGCGAGGAGGGAGCGGGUGAUGGAAGAGUAGGUAGUUGGUGGGAUAAGAACUUACUCAGCCAGGGAUAUGUAGCUACUCUGAGAGGAUUAUCAGCCACACUUGGACUGAGACACGGCCCAGACUCCUACGAGAGGCAGCAGUGAGUAAUUUUGGACACUGGGCGGAAGCCUGAUCCAGCCAUGCCGCAUGCAGGAUGAAGGCCUUUGGGUUGUAAGCUGCUUUUGUACGGAACGAAAAGCCUCUUUCUAAUAAAGAGAGGUCAUGACGGUACCUGAAGAAUAAGCACCGGCUAACUACGUG
RNAcentral lists this ribosomal RNA (482 nucleotides) under uncultured bacterium. Its description in RNAcentral is "partial 16S ribosomal RNA". It matches the Rfam family "Bacterial small subunit ribosomal RNA", at positions 30 to 507 of the family's 1533-position model. The record is from RNAcentral.